CCUACGGGUGGCAGCAGUGAGGAAUAUUGGUCAAUGGACGGAAGUCUGAACCAGCCAUGCCGCGUGCAGGAAGACGGCUCUAUGAGUUGUAAACUGCUUUUGUACAAGGGUAAACCUGAACACGUGUAUUCAGAUGAAAGUACUGUACGAAUAAGGAUCGGCUAACUCCGUUCCAGCAGCCGCGGUAAUACGGAGGAUCCAAGCGUUAUCCGGAUUUAGUGGGUUUAAAGGGUGCGUAGGCGGAUUGGUAAGUUUGAGGUGAAAUGUCCGGGCUUAACCCGUGAACUGCCUCUAAUACUGUUGAUCUAGAGAGUAGGAGAGGUAGGCGGAAUGCAUGGUGUAGCGGUGAAAUGCGUAGAGAUCAUACAGAACACCGAUUGCGAAGGCAGCUUACCGGUCUAUAUCUGACGUUGAGGCACGAAAGCGUGGGGAGCAAACAGGAUUAGAUACCCUUGUAGUC
RNAcentral lists this ribosomal RNA (460 nucleotides) under uncultured bacterium. RNAcentral's name for it is "partial 16S ribosomal RNA". It matches the Rfam family "Bacterial small subunit ribosomal RNA", at positions 338 to 795 of the family's 1533-position model. The record is from RNAcentral.